GAUGAACGCUGGCGGCGUGCCUAAUACAUGCAAGUCUAGCGAACGGACGAGAAGCUUGCUUCUCUGAUGUUAGCGGCGGACGGGUGAGUAACACGUGGAUAACCUACCUAUAAGACUGGGAUAACUUCGGGAAACCGGAGCUAAUACCGGAUAAUAUUUUGAACCGCAUGGUUCAAAAGUGAAAGACGGUCUUGCUGUCACUUAUAGAUGGAUCCGCGCUGCAUUAGCUAGUUGGUAAGGUAACGGCUUACCAAGGCAACGAUGCAUAGCCGACCUGAGAGGGUGAUCGGCGACACUGGAACUGAGACACGGUCCAGACUCCUACGGGAGGCAGCAGUAGGGAAUCUUCCGCAAUGGGCGAAAGCCUGACGGAGCAACGCCGCGUGAGUGAUGAAGGUCUUCGGAUCGUAAAACUCUGUUAUUAGGGAAGAACAUAUGUGUAAGUAACUGUGCACAUCUUGACGGUACCUAAUCAGAAAGCCACGGCUAACUACGUG
RNAcentral lists this ribosomal RNA (497 nucleotides) under uncultured bacterium. RNAcentral describes it as "partial 16S ribosomal RNA". It matches the Rfam family "Bacterial small subunit ribosomal RNA", at positions 28 to 507 of the family's 1533-position model. The record is from RNAcentral.